AUGGCGCCCUCGCGCCGCCGCGCGCGGUCGAGCGAGCCGGCGGCGGACCUGCUGACCUCCCUGCCGCCGCCCCUGCUCGACAGCAUCCUCACCCGCCUCGGCCUCCGCGACGCCGUCCGCACCUCCGCGCUCUCUCGCGCCUGGCGCCGCCGUUGGGUGGACCUCCCCUGCGUUCUCCUUCGCUACCCCGGCAACAUCUCGAAUUUCUCCAUCCAUUCCCUCGACAAGCACUCCGUCCGCCGCGUCGACGACUGGCUCAUCGCCCUGUGCAACCGCGGCGUCAGGUCCAUCGACCUCCAGGCCCCAGGCUUGGCCAUUCAUUCUUCUGUCUUCUUAUGCACGAGUCUCGUGUGCCUGGAGCUGCACUUGUGCUCGAUACCUCCUCUCCCCGUGGAAUUCACUGGCUUCCCCGUGCUCAAGCAGCUCAAACUCAUGGUCGUCAAAUUCCCUCCGAAUGGGGAGAUCCAACUGGAGGCAAUUAUCAACGCGUCACCCUUGCUUGAUACCCUGACUCUUUCCUAUGUCGAUACACGCAGCGAGGCCUUGCCCGGUUGGGUGAUUGGGGGGGGCCAAUCUCCGGAGCCUAACUAUCGUUUCCAAUGA
Molecule: ribosomal RNA, 603 nt
Filed under: Triticum aestivum (bread wheat)
Lineage: Eukaryota; Viridiplantae; Streptophyta; Magnoliopsida; Poales; Poaceae
Description: partial small subunit ribosomal RNA
Source: RNAcentral